RNAcentral lists this transfer RNA (68 nucleotides) under Echinolaelaps echidninus. Its description in RNAcentral is "tRNA-Gln". The record is from RNAcentral. Lineage: Eukaryota; Metazoa; Arthropoda; Arachnida; Mesostigmata; Laelapidae.
UAAUUUUUAAUGUUUAAGCAUAUCAAAUUUUGAAUUUGAAAGAAAUAAUUUACUAUUAUUAAAAUUAA